This 720-nucleotide ribosomal RNA is filed under the name uncultured bacterium. RNAcentral's name for it is "bacterial SSU rRNA". It matches the Rfam family "Bacterial small subunit ribosomal RNA", at positions 28 to 776 of the family's 1533-position model. The record is from RNAcentral.
GAUGAACGCUGGCGGCGUGCCUAACACAUGCAAGUCGAGCGAUCUUCUUCGGAAGAGAGCGGCGGACGGGUGAGUAACGCGUGGGUAACCUGCCCUGUACACACGGAUAACAUACCGAAAGGUAUGCUAAUACGGGAUGACAUAUAAAAGUCGCAUGGCUUUUAUAUCAAAGCUCCGGCGGUACAGGAUGGACCCGCGUCUGAUUAGCUAGUUGGUAAGGUAACGGCUUACCAAGGCGACGAUCAGUAGCCGACCUGAGAGGGUGAUCGGCCACACUGGAACUGAGACACGGUCCAGACUCCUACGGGAGGCAGCAGUGGGGAAUAUUGCACAAUGGGCGAAAGCCUGAUGCAGCAACGCCGCGUGAGCGAUGAAGGCCUUCGGGUCGUAAAGCUCUGUCCUCAAGGAAGAUAAUGACGGUACUUGAGGAGGAAGCCCCGGCUAACUACGUGCCAGCAGCCGCGGUAAUACGUAGGGGGCUAGCGUUAUCCGGAAUUACUGGGCGUAAAGGGUGCGUAGGCGGUCUUUCAAGCCAGAAGUGAAAGGCUACGGCUCAACCGUAGUAAGCUUUUGGAACUGUAGGACUUGAGUGCAGGAGAGGAGAGUAGAAUUCCUAGUGUAGCGGUGAAAUGCGUAGAUAUUAGGAGGAAUACCAGUAGCGAAGGCGGCUCUCUGGACUGUAACUGACGCUGAGGCACGAAAGCGUGGGGAGCAAACAGG